UGACCGCUAGCUACAGGCUUAACACAUGCAAGUCGAGGGGCAACGGCAUCGAAAGCUUGCUUUUGAUGGGCGUCGACCGGCGCACGGGUGAGUAACGCGUAUCCAACCUGCCCAUCACUUGGGAAUAACCUUGCGAAAGUAAGACUAAUGCCCAAUGACAUCCCACGAAGGCAUCCGAAUGGGAUUAAAGAUUUAUCGGUGAUGGAUGGGGAUGCGUCUGAUUAGCUUGUUGGCGGGGUGACGGCCCACCAAGGCAACGAUCAGUAGGGGUUCUGAGAGGAAGGUCCCCCACAUUGGAACUGAGACACGGUCCAAACUCCUACGGGAGGCAGCAGUGAGGAAUAUUGGUCAAUGGGCGAGAGCCUGAACCAGCCAAGUAGCGUGCAGGAUGACGGCCCUAUGGGUUGUAAACUGCUUUUAGAAGGGAAUAAAGUGGGUCACGUGUGACUUUUUGCAUGUACCUUAUGAAUAAGGGCCGGCUAAUUCCGUG
This 490-nucleotide ribosomal RNA is filed under the name uncultured bacterium. RNAcentral's name for it is "partial 16S ribosomal RNA". It matches the Rfam family "Bacterial small subunit ribosomal RNA", at positions 30 to 507 of the family's 1533-position model. The record is from RNAcentral.